RNAcentral lists this long non-coding RNA (1029 nucleotides) under Equus caballus (horse). Its description in RNAcentral is "lncRNA (ENSECAG00000044715.1)". Lineage: Eukaryota; Metazoa; Chordata; Mammalia; Perissodactyla; Equidae. The record is from RNAcentral.
GAACGAUUAUUUGUGUCACUAUUUCCUGACUAGACAAUAGACUGGGGAGGUAGAAGUAGGGUCUGUUUCUGUAUCUCCAAAGCCUAGUAAAGUGCAAGACACAUCUCAGCCUUCAAUUCACGUCUGUGGAAUGAAUGAAUGACCCAUCAGCUGGGUUGAACUGUGUGUGGGAUGGUGGGAAAGAGAGUGAGAGAAGGAACUGGGGGCCAGAGCACCGAGAGCCUGGAGUCCUAAUGAGUUUGGGAUUUAUCCUUUGGACAACAGAAACUCAUCGAAAAUUUCUGAGCCAAGGAGUCCCGUGGUGCCCACCAGGUUCAGGAAGACUCACGUGCAGUGAGGCUGACGGCUGGAAGAAGGGGGCCUGCAGACAGAGCGGCCAGGGGCAGCUGUUCUGGGAGGAAAACAACACCUGGAACUCCUCGCCAGGAACUAUCAUAGAGUCGUGAGCCGCGCUCAGGAGCUUGCCAAGGAAGGAAGGACCAGAGAGAGACUCAUCUGAGGGCUGAAAGGAAUGCCACUGAACAACCCGAGGGCAAGCGCAGACUCACGGGCUUCCUGAAACACGAAGACGCAGGAACCGAACUCCGCUCCUCGACUGCGCAGAAAGUGGGACAACAUGUGUUGGCUUAAUGGGCUGUAUCUGUUGGGAUUCUGAAAAGCCUCAUGCGAAGGACAGGUCUCUCCUAAGCGACGGUGAAAAAUGAAGUCUGCAGCUGGCGAUGAAGAAGCAGGCCAGAGGAAGUCUUGCUGCAGGGAACCUGGCUGACCAACAAUUAUUUUUUAUGACAUGGCAUACAUUAUGAUGAUGGUUUCAUUUCUGGUUAUUACCCUCUAUUAAAAAGCAUCUUGAGUAUCAUGAUUACGGGGGCAUCUUAUUCCCGCCUCAGGAAUCUACUCUCAUAUUUUCAGCGAACUGUUGUUUUUCCUGGAUGUAUUAUUAUUAUCGUUCUUGUUAUGUGAUUAUAUAAACUGCUAGCUGUGAUUAUGUAAACUGCUGGUUGUCAAGUAGCUUUUUUUAUUAUCCAUUGC